AGUGGACCGUGAUGAUGACGAAGCCCUGGACCGAGUUGAAGACUGCAAAGAGGACCUGGAAGAGGAUGGAGCGCCGGUCGGUCAUGGCGAGCACAGCCGACAUCCAGGCUCAUUAUAGGAAAUGCAAGGAAACAGGGAGAACGUUCCUGGCAAUAUAAUCGGGAGAAGACACUGUGAAGGGGAAGCAAAUGGAACCAAGUGGCACCUAUUGCCAGCUUGCCAAACAUCACCUGAAGAGCCCAGCCGAGUGAAAGAAAAAUUUAGCACCCAUCAACAUGCACUGUCAACAAAGCAGCCAGAGAGAGAGAGAGAGAGAGAGA
Podarcis muralis (Common wall lizard) is the source of this 320-nucleotide non-coding RNA. Lineage: Eukaryota; Metazoa; Chordata; Lepidosauria; Squamata; Lacertidae. The record is from RefSeq and is a predicted model, not a curated record.